GAAAUAAUUGGUGAAUAGAACGAGAUCAGAAAGACGGUUCCCUCCAUGGAUUUGCUUCUUCUCGGAAUCUUGAUUGAUUUCCAGGAACCUGUUGUUCUCCGGCAAGAAAACCCACUCAUCAAUAUCCAUUUCCGGGUGAAUCAUUUUUAAGGAAAUAGAAUCUGAUGUUUAUUUAA
This is a long non-coding RNA of Hibiscus syriacus, 176 nucleotides long. RefSeq lists it as uncharacterized. The record is from RefSeq and is a predicted model, not a curated record. NCBI's taxonomy places the organism in Eukaryota, Viridiplantae, Streptophyta, Magnoliopsida, Malvales, Malvaceae. The transcript has 4 exons.